UUUCGGUUGAUCCUGCCGGAGGUUGCUGCUAUUUGGAUACCACUUAGCCAUGCAAGUCAAGGGGACUUCGGUCACCGGCGAAAUGCUCAGUAACACGUCGAUAAUCUGCCCUUAGGUCUUGGACAGCUUCGGGAAACUGGAGGUAAACCAGGAUAGAAGAUUGGUACUGGAAUGUCCUUUCUUUGAAAUCUCCGGAGCCUAAGGAUGAGUCGGCGGCUGAUUAGGCUGUUGGUGAGGUAAUGGCUCACCAAACCGAUGAUCAGUAGGGGCUUUGAGAGAAGUAGCCCCGAGAAGGGCACUGAGAAAAGGGCCCUAGCCCUACGGGGUGCAGCAGGCGGGAAACCUUUACACUGUACGAAAGUGCGAUAAGGGUAUCCUGAGUGCUUACACUUUGUGUAAGCUUUUGCCAAGAGUAAAUAUCUUGGCGAAUAAGUGAUGGGAAAGACUGGUGCCAGCCGCCGCGGUAACACCAGCGUCACAAGUGGCAACCGUGUUUAUUGGGUCUAAAGCGUCCGUAGCCUGUUUUAUCAGUUCUUUGUGAAAUCAUUAACGUUAACUUAAUGGCGUGCAAAGAAUACUGAUUUAACUUGGGACUGGGAGAGGUCAGAGGUAUUCCUGGGGAAGCGGUAA
RNAcentral lists this ribosomal RNA (630 nucleotides) under uncultured archaeon. RNAcentral's name for it is "bacterial SSU rRNA". It matches the Rfam family "Archaeal small subunit ribosomal RNA", at positions 1 to 635 of the family's 1478-position model. The record is from RNAcentral.